UUUAAGCAUUUUACUAAGGA
Molecule: ribosomal RNA, 20 nt
Filed under: Laelaps giganteus
Lineage: Eukaryota; Metazoa; Arthropoda; Arachnida; Mesostigmata; Laelapidae
Description: partial 28S ribosomal RNA
Source: RNAcentral